UCGCCUUCCUUUAAUUUCUCAGCCGUUUUCUCUGCUCCAAAAAUACUCUUGUUCGCUUCAUUCACCUCCUCCACUAACCAGCUUGCCUCAUCGUGAUCGAGAGAUUUAAAAAUAUUAGGGACAGCGGUCGGUGUUGCGGGCUCGUAUUUGACGUCACUGAUGGAAGUCCCUCGGUUAUGACACUGGGCAUUAGUUCCCAGUUCCCUUGCGGUUGGUUUGUUGUCAGUCUGUGUGUAGUGUUCAGCGGUUGUUCUGGACAAUUGGUUGCGGGUCAGGGUAUUAGAGUGUUCUGCUUUUCUACGUUUGGGCUUGGGUGUUAGCUCGUUGCGGGCUAUGGGUUGUCUUUUGUUGCCUGCAUUGAUCUGGGUCAGCGGCCAUUCCACUGGGAAUAAGGCUGGUCGGUUGGACUGAGACUGACUUCCAAUACUGCUCAUUG
This is a non-coding RNA of Paramuricea clavata, 436 nucleotides long. NCBI's taxonomy places the organism in Eukaryota, Metazoa, Cnidaria, Anthozoa, Malacalcyonacea, Plexauridae. The record is from the annotation of a GenBank genome assembly.